Long non-coding RNA from Xiphophorus hellerii (green swordtail), 3882 nucleotides. RefSeq lists it as uncharacterized. Lineage: Eukaryota; Metazoa; Chordata; Actinopteri; Cyprinodontiformes; Poeciliidae. The record is from RefSeq and is a predicted model, not a curated record. The transcript is spliced from 3 exons.
CAUCUCAAAGCUGGAAACCGUACUCAACGUAUCUCACGAUCUUAGAGCUGACAAACGCUGAAGAGUUUUGGGUGAGAAAUACAGAGAGCAAAGAUCGUCUCCCUGCUCAGGAUCCUCAUGGAAACAGAACCUUUUCCUCCCGUGUUCACCAGAGUUUAACCAAGUAGUGAUUAAGUGUGGGUACCAUGGUUCGUGUGGUGGCCAGGGUUCUGGAUUUGGGUGAGCCAGGGGUUUUGUGUGAAUAAUUUUAGGCCACCUUCAAGGUCAUGAGUGUGGGUAAAAUCUAGAGACCGAUGGCUGUAUUGCAGUGAGUGAGCCAGGCCUGAGGAAAUAUGGCUUGACAAAGUUUACCCCGAUUCUGUGACCCUGCUGGGAUGGCAGAAAAACUCAUUUUUGAUUGAGAACAGAAGCUGUGUUCAGGCCUCAGCUAGCAGAGAGUGUGGUCCUUUGUCUGGAGUUCUGAGAGGACACAUAUUUAUGAUGGGAGAAUAACAAGCUAACCAUACUUUUUUUUUUUUUUAAUUAGAAAAUGUGCCUUGGAGGGGAUGGAAAAACCACUUCUAAUAUUUAGAACUUUUACUGUUUAUUAGAUUGUUUAGUGAAUGUUGCAGCAGAGCCCAGGGGAUAUGUGGGAUUUCUGAGCAACUUUAAAUGAGCAGUUCCAUUUUAAUACAUGUGGCAGUAUGCCCUGUGGGCUCUGAACGCACCACACAAGUGCCUGACUUUAAUUGGUUGUAGCGCUGUCUGUAUAUAAAGGGCCCUCCCUCACCUGGUAGACAACACGUUCUCCUUCCGGUUCAGACUUCACUGUUUACUGGCGCUAUACGACUGACGCGCUUAAUCCAUUAAUUGCUGUUCAAGCCUUCUUCUGGUAAGAAGCUUCUCACACCUUUAAUAUCUGUAAGUCUAGCUUUAGCUCAGCUUUACUUGUAACAUCUAGGUGACUUGUACCAGCUGACUGCUUCUUCUCCCUGCCAGAGGCAUAACGCAUCAAGCUCAGUGACGCUGCUGUUUGUCCUUGGCCGGCUGCUUGCCCGUACUCUGUUGUCCUUGGUUGACGGUCCGUCCGCCUGUGACCUGGUUAUUCGUCGUCGGCUGACGGCGGCCUACCCGUCGCCCUGGUUGUCGGCUUCAUACCCGCUGUCCUGGUCGGCGUAAGCUGGCUUUUGACUCUCGUCCAGUGUGGCUGAUUCAGGCUGGUUUACGACCAGCUCGUCCUGAUCCCUCUGGUGCCGCUCUGGCUGGCGGUUGCUGUGGCGCGGCGGUUCGUCUCAGGACGGACUCCUAACUUGGACUGCUAUUGCUUGAUUUGUGAGGACUGAACUGUAUAACCAAGAAAUGUAUGUAAUUUGAAUGUCUUUUCUUUUGUUGACAGGAAUGGCCAGCUCGUGGUGUUGGUGGUGGACUUUCCGGGUGGUGGUACUUUCUUUGGUUUGGUGCACGAUUUUCUUUUAUUUGGUUUGCUGUGUUUCCUUUGUAGGUCCCUGCCAGCUUCGAGUUGAGCCGUAAAUGUCAUUUUAAUGUGUGCGUGAUUUUAAAUUAAUAUAUUUCUGACUAGAAAAUUGAAAUGAAUAAACUGAUUGGAUUGAGUGGAAUUGUCUCGUGCCUCAUAUGUAGCGGGCCUGUGUGCCUUAAAGGUAACUUUACAGUAUUAUUAAAUUAGUUAUCUUAAAAUUCAAGUUGCCAAUCGGGAAAGCAUAGGUACCGUCACAUACAACUGAACAUAUCCCAAUCAAAAAAAGAAAAAAUGACAAGGGAGGACUGUGUGGUGGUAACAACAAAAAAAAGUUCUGGACAUCUGGAAACUCUCCUCACAGUAGCCAUGUGAACCACGGACUGGAGUCUGGAGACAAGGUGAAGGUUAGGCCAGUGGUGAGACACUUUCCAUGGUCCCUGAAAACAGAAGAACUGCCAUCAGGGUUAUCCCUAUGCUUUACCCUCCACUUGACAAUUAUUUAAAAAGUGUUGGAUCCCUGGACAUGGAAGGUCAGAGUUGGACAUAAUUGCUGCACCAGAGAACAGAGACUGAACCUUUAAUGUCCCAACGAACACAGACACUUCUCUUCUCAGAGGGCUUGUGGCAAAACUAAAACUCUGAACUGUGGCUUCAUGACAAACCAGCCUGAGUUCCUUGAAAAGUUCUGCUGCUUCCUCCCAGCCUGGCCUCAGAGCUGCACACGUUUCAGCUUCAGGGACAUGCAGGACAGACAUGCCUCCUAAAUACUGUUCUGGGAACUAUAUGCUGAGUUAUUGUUUUAUUAUAAACUAGUUUCUAAAGCUAAUUAUUCCAUUUCUUUAUUCAUUUGAUGGACUGUGUGGUUUAAACUUCCUCCAUGCUUUAACAGUGCUGUGAAAAAGUACUUGCUUCCUCUCAGAUGAGUUUUUGCUUUGUGUCCCUCUUAAAUCAUUUAGAUCAAACUAAUCUUAGUAAAGGAUAAAGAUGACCUGAGUAAAUACAAAAAACUGUUUUCAGUUAAUGAUUUCAUUCACUAACAGGAGAGCUGUCCAACCCACCCUGGACCGAUGGGACAAAUAAUUGCCUUCUUAACCUUUUAACUAGUUUUGCCACCAUUUGCAGCAACAACUGGUAUUAAGAGUUUGUGAUAACAGGCAACGAGUCUUUAUAAUCAGCAGUGAAGAAUUUUGGCCAACUCUUCUGUGCAGAAAUGACGUCUUAACCGUCAUGAGGACAGCGAUGUCGUCGUGGAACCAUCGUCUGACAUACAGGCGUUUUGGGAGUGAUGUUAAAUCAAAAACAUUUAAGAGUGGUUGAAUGUGAACGGCACAUUUCAGGUCACACUAGAGCAUCUGAAUGUUUAUGUCUGACUUUCCUUCAGCUGAUUUAUUACAGUUCAGUUACAAACUGUUUCUUGUUUCUUCCAUUUGGUUUUUAUCUUUUUUGUUGUACAUUUCCAACUUCCAAAUCAUGGUGUUGACAGUUUUCUGUCGUCUUCUUUAGUCUUUGUGUGUUUUCAGUUUUACAAGCUGAUUGGAAACAACCAACAUGUUCUUGGUGCAAAUCCUUCCUGAAGCGGUGAUUUAAAAUCCUUUGAGCCGACGGACGUCUCGUGGGGAUCAUCAGUCUUUAUUCAUCACUGAGUGAUUCCAUCAUUUCUUUCUGCUGUAUUUCAUCUGACUGGUUGUUUUGUCCAUAAUUCAUCCUGAUGGCAAACAGAAGCUGAGCUAUUGGGCCACAUUAAGUAUGACAGUGUGAUGUCAUAUGUUGCUAUUUCUACCUCAGGGUGUUUAGCAGACAUUGGACAGUCUGAUGAAUGAGAACCUAGAACAUCAUAACAGAACCAGCUUCUCCAGAGCUGAUGUACCCUGAACGUCAAGCUAGCUGCUUUGUUUCCAGCAGAUAUUGAUGAAAAUCCCUUUAGACUUUGUGGCAGCGACUGAGGUGGAGAGCCCAGCAUCUCGGAGCUCAGUGGGUCCAGGACAGCAGAGGAGGAUCCAUGAUUGAAGCCAACAGUUUGCUAUGGAGGGCCUGUGGAGCCCGACCCAGACAGUUUCUAAUAAACAGAACCAGAAGACGAGCCCAGAUCAGCAGCAAUGAUAACCACUCACACAUCCCAAGAAAUAUAAUGUCUGUAAGCUGGAAGAACAGAAAGAGAUGAGAUUAGUGAAGGAACCUGCAACAGGAACAAAAGAACAAGUUUAUUAAAAAAGCUGAGCAACUUUUCUGUUGUUCUCUAACUCACUGGGAUUUUUGUAGCUGCUGCUGACUGAAAGCAUUAGAAGUGUGUAAAGAUGAUUCCUGCAAACCAAAAGGAGUUAAAAUUUUACUGACAGAAAAAAUGAGCUGCUUUCUAAAAUAGAUUUGACCGUUUCUAAUAAAUGUUGAAACUAAAAAUGGAAUGGAAUAAAAAUGCUAUUUAGAGA